GAACACAAAAUGGCGACACGUGGUUAGCAUUCGUCGCCAACGAGAAAUUGGGGUCGGCCCGAAAGCUCUAGAAUGCACCCCUCUUCCUCCCCGGGGCCUUCCACCUCCGCGAGUUUUAUGACUUAAAAAAGCCCACAGGCUGGUCUGAAGACUUCCUAGCAUGGGCUGUUGUGCUGGAGAGAACGAGAGCUACGAAGAGACUACAGUGCCUCUGACUUUUUCAUAGGACAGUUGGCCGAGGAAGACAAACAUAAAGAUGAAGUGCUUAAUUCAAGGUCACACAAUGUCGGGGAUGGACCUCCAGAUUUCCUUACUGGAAAACAAGCUCAGGGCUCCCACUGAUUGUACAUUAUGGUGAGACGUGGUCUUGUAACACAGUGGUUAAGAAUGUGACUUUGGAGCCAGCCUGCUAGGGGCUGAAUUCUGACUCAGCCAUUUACUAACUGUGUGACCUUAGGGAGGAGGACCUGGUUGAUAGAAGAAUUUAUCUCGUAGUCUUAACAUCCACUGUAAUUCCAAACUUUGAGGACGAUAGAGAUCAGUGGGCUUUGACUGCCCAGCAUGCAGUCUCCAUUCUUAGGUGGGUUCCCAAGCCUGUAAAAUGUAAGCCUUAUGCUGCUGAGGGCCAUCUUGCCACCCUGAGGGAAACGCUGCCUGAGAAUGAAACAAGCAUAAGUAAAAGCUGAGCUGUGAGAUGGAGCAAGAUGAAGGCCACAUGACAUCUUUGGAGCACCUGGAUCUAACUGUGCCUUAAGCUAGUCUAACCCUGAACAUUUCAUCAUUUCAUUGACAUGAGCCCAGGUUUUCUUUUUUUUUGGAUGGAGUCUUGCUCUGUCGCCCAGGCUGGAGUGCAGUAGCUCAAUCUCGGCUCACUGCAAGCUCCACCUCCCGGGUUCACGCCAUUCUCCUGCCUUAGCCUCCCAAGUAGCUGGGACAACAGGCGCCCACCACCACUCCCAGCUAAUUUUUUGUAUUUUUAGUAGAGACGGGGUUUUACCAUGUUAGCCGGGAUGGUCUUGAUCUCCUGACCUCAUGAUCCGCCCGCCUCGGCCUCCCAAAGUGCUGGGAUUACAGGUGUGAGCCACUGCACCCAGCCCUCAGGUUUUCCCUUUUUUUACCCCUCCUUUUGAAAAUUUGAUGUGGAAUUUUGCCACCUGCAGCCAGAAGAGUUUUAACUAAUCAGUGCCAUAAAUUUUAUAUAGUUCUCCUUGCAAAAUGUGGAUCAGCCUUUCUCAGCAAAUCCUUUGUCAUAAAGUGCUGAAUUGUAAGUUUGUCAUGAGAAUCACAUGAGAUCAUGCAUGUGAAGAACCUGGCAUUAUCCUCCUCAUAGAAAAAAACCAGUAAAUAUUAACUACAGGAAGCAAGGAAGGAGUGGGGUGAGGGGAAGAAGAAGGGGUACUGAUUUAAAAGAACCCUGGAGUCCUAAGGAUAAUCUAGGAACCCUCAGACCCAAUCCGAUACCCCUAUUCUAAAUGCUCCUAGUGCCCUGUACCUUCCCCUCAUAAGCCUUCAUUAUCAUUGUAAUGAUAUGUUUAUGUAAUAUUUUGAUUAAUGUCUCUCCUUCACUGACCUAGCAGUUCUAGCAGGGCAGUGAUUUUGCUGUGUUGCAUCCCCAGCACCUAGUCUGGUAUGUGGCAUUCAGCAUAUGUUUAUUGAAUGAAUGGCCAUGUGGUUAUUCAGAUCCUCCUUGAUUAUUGGGGUUAGGAUUGUGGCAGAAGUGGCAAAAUCAGGGAGAGUAGUCCCUGUCCCCUCUGUAUCUUAUACACUGCCCACACUCCCAACACACAUACACAUACAGAGAAUUUUGUCUCAAUUAGAUAAUUAACUUCUGCUUGGUUGUAAACCAAACCACUGGUUCUUAAACUUUCAUUGGAUCAUUUUAUUGAAGAAUUAAAUAGUGUGGUUCUGGCCUAAUGUCUGGAAAGCCUUGCAGAGGAGUGGAUUAGGUCUUUGUGAUAAACAGGCAGCCUUCCCUGCUCCUGUGUCUUUAUAAAAUCUAUUUAACUGGAGUAGUCCACCCUCCCUCAGGCUCUUACAGGAAUAUGUUGGAGGCUGUAGGAAGGUGGGAAACCGAGAGGGAAAGGACUGGGCCGCUGGAGACUUCACUCAUUCCCUAGCAAGAAACAAAAGCAGUAAAAGGUGGCCCGAGGACAACCUGAAGCUCACUCCUUCAGCACUUUUGGCUGGAGGUCACUUGUUGGAGCCCCACUCAGAGCUCAGCACACCACCCCACCAGCAGCCUCCUCCUCCCAGCUGAGGCUGCAUUUCAUCCCUUCCCCCAGCCUGCUUUCCCUGAGAUAGGGGAGUGUUUCCCAGGGCCCAUGUGACUUCCACUGGCAAGUGACGAUUACCAAUGGUUUACUAGUCAGUGAAACUACCAAAGGCUUUUGUGCUGUAGUAAUCCUUUUCCUGUUUAAAACUCUGGGGAUUUUCUAAUGUUGCCAAUAGUUUUUCAAGUCAGCAAUUACUGUGUGGAUUAUGUAAUGGCUCGGUAUUA
Molecule: long non-coding RNA, 2497 nt
Organism: Homo sapiens (human)
Lineage: Eukaryota; Metazoa; Chordata; Mammalia; Primates; Hominidae
Gene: PCBP1-AS1
Product: PCBP1 antisense RNA 1
Source: Ensembl